Molecule: ribosomal RNA, 281 nt
Filed under: uncultured bacterium
Lineage: Bacteria
Description: partial 16S ribosomal RNA
Rfam family: Bacterial small subunit ribosomal RNA
Source: RNAcentral
GUGGAUUAGAUACCCGAGUAGUCCACACCGUAAACGAUGAUUACUAGAUUUUGGCCUUAUGGUCAGAGUCCAAGCGAAAGUGUUAAGUAAUCCACCUGGGGAGUACGUCCGCAAGGAUGAAACUCAAAGGAAUUGACGGGGGCCCGCACAAGCGGUGGAGCAUGUGGUUUAAUUCGAUGAUACGCGAGGAACCUUACCUGGGCUUGAAAGUUAGUGACCGCUCCUGAAAGGGAGCUUUCCGCAAGGACACGAAACUAGGUGCUGCACGGCCGUCGCCAACU